RNAcentral lists this small RNA (1126 nucleotides) under Pleosporales sp. 1 MU-2012. RNAcentral's name for it is "eukaryotic LSU rRNA". The stretch from base 357 to 1126 matches the Rfam family "Eukaryotic large subunit ribosomal RNA", at positions 1 to 804 of the family's 3401-position model. Lineage: Eukaryota; Fungi; Ascomycota; Dothideomycetes; Pleosporales. The record is from RNAcentral.
CCUCUUACCCAUGUCUUUUGAGUACCUUCGUUUCCUCGGUGGGUUCGCCCGCCGAUCGGACAACAUUCAAACCCUUUGCAGUUGCAAUCUACGUCUGAAAAAACAUAAUAGUUACAACUUUCAACAACGGAUCUCUUGGUUCUGGCAUCGAUGAAGAACGCAGCGAAAUGCGAUAAAUAGUGUGAAUUGCAGAAUUCAGUGAAUCAUCGAAUCUUUGAACGCACAUUGCGCCCCUUGGUAUUCCAUGGGGCAUGCCUGUUCGAGCGUCAUUUGUACCUUCAAGCUCUGCUUGGUGUUGGGUGUUUGUCUCGCCUCUGCGUGUAGACUCGCCUUAAAACAAUUGGCAGCCGGCGUAUUGAUUUCGGAGCGCAGUACAUCUCGCGCUUUGCACUCAUAACGACGACGUCCAAAAGUACAUUUUUAACUCCGGCGAGUGAAGCGGCAACAGCUCAAAUUUGAAAUCUGGCGUCUUUGGCGUCCGAGUUGUAAUUUGCAGAGGGCGCUUUGGCAUUGGCAGCGGUCCAAGUUCCUUGGAACAGGACGUCACAGAGGGUGAGAAUCCCGUACGUGGUCGCUAGCCUUUACCGUGUAAAGCCCCUUCGACGAGUCGAGUUGUUUGGGAAUGCAGCUCUAAAUGGGAGGUAAAUUUCUUCUAAAGCUAAAUACUGGCCAGAGACCGAUAGCGCACAAGUAGAGUGAUCGAAAGAUGAAAAGCACUUUGGAAAGAGAGUUAAAAAGCACGUGAAAUUGUUGAAAGGGAAGCGCUUGCAGCCAGACUUGCCUGUAUUUGCUCAUCCGGGUUUUUACCCGGUGCACUCUUCUACGGGCAGGCCAGCAUCAGUUUGGGCGGUUGGAUAAAGGUCUCUGUCAUGUACCUCCCUUCGGGGAGAUCUUAUAGGGGAGACGACAUGCAACCAGCCUGGACUGAGGUCCGCGCAUCUGCUAGGAUGCUGGCGUAAUGGCUGUAAGCGGCCCGUCUUGAAACACGGACCAAGGAGUCUAACAUCUAUGCGAGUGUUUGGGUGUCAAGCCCGAGCGCGUAAUGAAAGUGAACGGAGGUGGGAACCUUUCGGGGUGCACCAUCGACCGAUCCUGAUGUCUUCGGAUGGAUUUGAGUAAGAGCAUA